This 254-nucleotide ribosomal RNA is filed under the name uncultured bacterium. RNAcentral describes it as "partial 16S ribosomal RNA". It matches the Rfam family "Bacterial small subunit ribosomal RNA", at positions 524 to 776 of the family's 1533-position model. The record is from RNAcentral.
UACGAAGGGGGGCUAGCGUUGCUCGGAAUCACUGGGCGUAAAGCGCACGUAGGCGGACUCUUAAGUCAGGGGUGAAAUCCUGGAGCUCAACUCCAGAACUGCCUUUGAUACUGAGAGCCUUGAGUUCGGGAGAGGUGAGUGGAACUGCGAGUGUAGAGGUGAAAUUCGUAGAUAUUCGCAAGAACACCAGUGGCGAAGGCGGCUCACUGGCCCGAUACUGACGCUGAGGUGCGAAAGCGUGGGGAGCAAACAGG